Molecule: unclassified non-coding RNA, 261 nt
Filed under: uncultured Gemmatimonadaceae bacterium
Lineage: Bacteria; Pseudomonadati; Gemmatimonadota; Gemmatimonadia; Gemmatimonadales; Gemmatimonadaceae
Description: contains 16S-23S intergenic spacer region
Source: RNAcentral
UCCCCGUUCUCCUGUGCAUGGAUCCCGAAGGAGGCCCCUCGUUUCUGAGGAGUUUCCCAUGCAUGUCAAGCCUAGGUAAGGUUCUUCGCGUUGCGUCGAAUUAAACCACAUGCUCCACCGCUUGUGCGGGCCCCCGUCAAUUCCUUUGAGUUUCAGCCUUGCGGCCGUACUCCCCAGGCGGGGUACUUCCUGCGUUAGCGCCGGCACCCAAGGGGUCGCUCCCCCAGGCACCUAGUACCCAUCGUUUACGGCGUGGACUAC